Non-coding RNA from Podarcis muralis (Common wall lizard), 5095 nucleotides. The record is from RefSeq and is a predicted model, not a curated record. NCBI's taxonomy places the organism in Eukaryota, Metazoa, Chordata, Lepidosauria, Squamata, Lacertidae.
CGUCUUUUGUGCUUUGGCGAGAUGUGCGAGGAAGAUGCUGUCACUGUCUGCGUUCGGGUGCGCCCGCUCCCCGCCAGCGAGAAUGCAGACCUUGCGGAGGAAGAGAGUAUUAUCUGGAAAACUGAAGAAUGCACCAUAUCUCAGCUUGAUGGGACCAAAUCUUUUACCUUUGAUCGGGUGUUUCAUUCUUCAGAUAAUACCGAAGUCUACAAAGGGGUGGCUGCUUCUGUUAUCAAGUCGGCUGUUCAGGGAUAUAAUGGAACUAUUUUUGCCUAUGGCCAAACUGCUUCGGGGAAAACUUACACAAUGUUGGGCACCAAAGAUUGCCCAGGAAUCUUACCAAUGGCCAUCAAUGAUGUUUUCAAUAGCAUUUGAGGAAUUCCUGACAGGGAGUUCCUACUCCGUGCAUCAUACAUGGAAAUCCACAGUAAUACAGUUGAGGACCUACUGUGCAGCAGUAUACGGCAAAAGAAACCCUUGGUUGUUCGUGAAGACAUCAGUAAUUUGGUAGAUUUGGCAAGAGCUACCCAAACAGGUGCUGAAGGGAUCCAUCUCCAAGAAGGCCUCAAUGUAAACCAGAGCCUCUCCAUCUUGAGCCAAGUGAUCAAGAACCUUUGUGAAGAGCAGAGUGGAGCCUACGUCAACUACAGAGACAGUACGUUAACAUGGCUUCUGCACACUUGGUGGCAAUUCUAAGACUGUUAUCAUUUUCACGGUCAUUCUGACAUCGUUUGAAGAAACGCUUCAAACCCUCCAGUUUGCGAAUACAGCCAAAAAAAUGAAAAACCGCCCUAUAAUAAAGUAUGUUACGGAUGAGGAUGCCCUUCUAAAGAGGUAUCGUUUAAAGAUUGACAGCUUGAAACAACAAAUUGAAGAUAUCUCAUCACAAUCCCAGCCGGCAGAGAUUGUUGAAGAGAAGUAUGCUCUUCAAAAUGAGCUGCAGGAGAAAAUAAAGAAUCUCACUGAGAUGCUGGUGACGUCAGCUUCUCUUGCAUCAGCGCAAGAGUUCAAGUUUCCAAGGACAAGGAAGAGGAGAGCGACCUGGUCUGCAGGAACAACAUCCCAGGAAGCAGGGGAAUGUCUCCUGGGAAGCUUUUCCCAAAAAGCCAAACAGUUUAAAAAGCCUUGUCUAGGAGAGAUGAAAGCAUCUGUAUCCUCAGAAUGUGAUGAUCAAGGGAUGACAGCCAGUGUUACAAUUCCUGAAGAGGAACGGACUCCAGGGUCUGAGGUUGGUUUGAAGCCAGCUAGCAAGAUCCAAGAGCUGCAAAUAGGAGACACAGAAGAGGAUAGACCUUGUUUGAAAGAACAACUCAGCAAAGCUCUAGAGAAGUUGAGUUUUCUGUAUUUUUAAAGGAAAAUCAGAGAAGAUUUUGAUGAGCUUGAGAAAUAGGCAAAAGCCAACUUGCUCAAUGUCAAUUAUAAAACAAGGAGACAAAGAGUGAGGGCACGGCAAAGAAAUGACAGUAGUGCACCUGAUGCCUUAGAUGCACUUUCUUCAAGAGAUAAGUUUAGGAUAAAACCCUUUAUUCCUAUAUUCCUUUAUUAGAUGCACUUGAAGGCAAUUUAAAAAGAGGUAUUGUGUUGCAGAAUUGUUUUCCAUUCGUGCUAUCCUGAUAGUAUCUAAGCAAGGAAUUCAGCAAGGUGUAGAAUUGUUGAUGGAAUAUCUACCCAGAAGAUAUUGACCUGAAACUUCUUGAUGAACUUUUGCACUUUCACCUGUAUGUGAGACAAAGCCAUAGGCACUGCACCGCCACUGGCUUUAAACCGGAGCGCUGUUCCCGUUCAUGUAUAAUGCUGGAGACACAUGCCUGAGAACCCCUCUUUACAUCAGGCUUGGGGACAGGUUGGUGUUAGGGAGAGGACACGCUAGAGAGGAUCUUUCAUAGGCUUGGAUCUUCAGGGGAGGCCUGCAAGACGUCUCCAGUCUGAUUUGGCCCUUAUGCAGCGGAGAGCUGCAUAGCGCUGUGAGUGUAUGGCUUUUCCUUUAGUGUAAGAGCCACCUUGCCAUAGAAGCCAACCCCUACAGACCAACGAGAGAUCUCCCCUCCCAAUAAAAUAUAUGAGGGGGGCAGCCCCCCCUAAUAAAGUUUAUUGACAUAACUAUGCUUAGGAAAAUACACUCAUGGGUUAAUAUGCAAUUUAGUUUAACACCUUACAUUUUGGACAAAGGCUUGUACAUAGUUUAGGUAAAUAAAAAACCCAGGAUAUGUGAUCUUUUCUGAUUUUACAUCUAUUACAAACAUAUAAAAGCUCUUCAUGCACUACAGUAGAGAGAAAGCAUGAAAAAAAAUUACCUUUGGUUUAAAUUGACAGAAUAAUACAAGUAUUGCACUGUAAAAAGCUUCAAACACGGUGCAACCAAACAUAAAAUGUUUCAGUGCCAGCUUACAAAAAGUUCUUUAGCUAGUGUGAUUUGCUUUUUAGGGGAGGAAAAGGUAUAUAUACACAUGUGUGAAACAAUUUCUUAAACUACCUGGAUGUAAUUAAUAUUGUAUUUCAGCUUGUUAGCUACACAAUCAAGAUUCAAUAAACCUAACUGAACCUCUGCUUACAAUACAUCAGCAAAACAACAUACUGAAAUCAAAGGCAUUAGGAGUAUUAACUGACCUGUCAGUUUGUUCUGUAGAAAAGAUUUAAAGUUCCAGCCCUUAGGUCAAUCAAUCCCUAAAUAGCAGCAAUAUUAAGAUGUGUUGCCAAGUUCCUAGUAAUCCAUUCUUUAGGCUACUUUUCCAAAAACACUAUAGAUUCUACUAACUAGCCACACUGUCAAACAACAUGAGAUAAUGCAGGAUGUAUCAGGCUGGGGUGUUAUGACAGGCAUUGCUGCUGAGAGAAGCCCUUUAAUAAAGGAAGACGCUGGAAAGGUGUAUCCAAAAUUCCUGUGACAAUCUCAAAAUUCAAUUUAAGAAAUAUCUACUUUAGGCAGAAACACAGUAACUCAUCUGUAGUCUAACCCUAAUUUCACUAAUCCGCUUGCAACAUCUAACAUUAAGACAGGAGUGACAUUCCAUCUUUUACCAGUUUUAUUUUUAAACUGUUCAAUCACUAUAGGUACCGCCUUCUAUUCUAACAAAAUAGGGGAAAGCAUAUAGGAACUUCAAGUCAAUCACAAUAUCCAAUAUAUCUCAAGACACAACAAUUACAUCGCUGGAAGAUAUUAUUUUAAUACUUAACAGUUUGCCCUCUCAAGCUCAGAAACACUACCCAACACAGGUACCAACUUCUACUGUCUUUUCUAGCGUGAAAGUUUUACUCCUGAUCAUUUGCUAGUAAGAUCUUCUGAGUAACAUGACAGCAUUUUCUUGUAAUGUGAAGUCAUCUAAUGUCAUUACUGCUAGUGACACCUCUUUGCCUCUACCUUUUCAACCAACCUGGUUUAAAAAAAAUCAUAAAAAAUGUAGCUUAAGGCCACAAAGGCUUUUACAAAGUGGAAACAUCUCUUUUUAAAAAGGCAGAGAGAGAGAAAAAACUCUACUACUCUACUCCGUUGACGGGCGUUACCAUUCAAAUUGUGUGUGUGCUGUGUCAUGUGAUUAUGUGGGACGGGGCUUACCUGCUGCCACCCCCAUUUUAUCCAAAUUGGCACCCCUUGUGCCAGCUCUCAAAGCGCCUCUAGAAGCGCAAGGUGCACUUAGGUAGAUACUUUGUCCACUUAGCUCAGGACUGUCUGUACUAACAGGAUUGUGUGUCUCAAGAGUUUCAGGCUGGGGAGGGGUGUGUGUUUAAAGCUGCUUUAGGCAGAGUCAGAUCUCUGGCCCACCUAGGUCAGCCUUACCUGGAAAUCCAGGAAACCAAAGCUGUGACGCACCAGCAUGCACCCCUUAAAUGAUAAUUUUAGACUCUAGUCUUCACAGUGCUGAAAAGGGGAAAUAUUUAAGUAAUCUAAGAAGCUGCCUUAUGCAGAGCCAGAUCAUGGGACAAUCUAGCUCAGUACAGUGGUGGACCUUGGGUUCAGCAGCGCCCUGUGGGCUGCCAAAAUUCAGCUACCUCCACUUCUUGCCUUCCACUUUAUGUACAUCAUAUUCAGGACUUUAAAUUGUGCUUUUAUAUCAAAUUUCAUUUUCUGCAUAUGCUGUAAUGUUUUACUGUUGCUAUGUCCAUUGGCUAAUGCGAAUAAAGUUUUUUUUAAAUAAUCUCUUUCUAUGUACAUCAUAUAUGCAGCAUCCUCGAGGCUUCGCACCCAGUAAGACCGAACCAGUUGCACUCCCCUAAAUCUGCAUCUGCUCAGAACUGUCUAUGACUGUCAGAGGCUCUCGAGGGUUCCAGGCAGGGUGACUGUCCCAGACCUACCUGGAGAUGCCAAGGGUUGAACCUUGGUGCCUUUCUGGAUGCAAAGAGGAUGCUCUGCCACUGAGUUGCAGCCUUUCCCCAAGGUCUAACCUGGAUUGAGUUCCUUGCAUCCAAAAGUAUGUGCUCUAACCACUGAGCUCUGGUCCUCCUUCCACUUUUAACAUUAUCUGCAACCAAAUAACUUCAGUUCAGCAGUGUAGGGAGAUUCACCUGCAGGAUUUCUGCCUGGCACUCUCAGCUGUUAUAGAAGUCCAGAACUACUGCCAGUAAAGGGAGGACAGCUUAUGGCAGUGAGCACCAUCUGUUCAUCGCAUACUGGACGUUCCUUGUGUCAGUCCAACAAAAGAGAGAAAGAAUGUCCUAAAUCACACUUCUCCUUCUUUAAAAAAAACAAAGCACUUUCACAUUGCCACUCCGUAACCUUAGAACCAUGUUUAGCAGCAUACAAAAAUAAUGAAGGAUAAUGUAUUUAAAAUUCCCAACAAAUAUUGUUGUUGGGGUUUUUUUAAGUACCAACUAUCCCUGCUUUUAACAGUGCAGUCCUAUGCAUGUUUAGUGAUAAAAGGAAGUAGGACAGCCAGAUGAAUCACUGCACUGCUUUUCAAUUAGGUAUGCGCACGUUGAGUGUGGUGGAAUGUUAACUCUAUAUAGCAGCUUUGUUCCAAGUUCUAUGUAAGCUGUCAUUUCACAUCAAAAAAGUUUGUGGGGGAAAGGCACUUAUGUCCUGUGUGGGCUGUAUAAUUAUGCUGCUGCUGCUUUUUUUACAUUAGAGGUUCGGAAAUUUGACAGGCAGACACUGCCCUCA